Molecule: ribosomal RNA, 459 nt
Filed under: uncultured bacterium
Lineage: Bacteria
Description: bacterial SSU rRNA
Rfam family: Bacterial small subunit ribosomal RNA
Source: RNAcentral
AGUAGUUUGAUCAGUGGCUCGAGGACGAACGCUGGCGGUGUGCUUCACACAUGCAAGUCGAACGAGGUAGCAAUACCUAGUGGCGGACGGGUGAGUAACGCGUGGGAAUCUGCCUUUAGAUGGGGGAUAACGGGUCGAAAGACUCGCUAAUACCGCAUAUGACGAAAGUUGAAAGGAGUAAUCCGUCUAAAGAUGAGCCCGCGUCCGAUUAGCUAGUUGGUAGAGUAAAAAGCCUACCAAGGCGACGAUCGGUAGCUGGUCUGAGAGGAUGAUCAGCCACAAUGGGACUGAGACACGGCCCAUACUCCUACGGGAGGCAGCAGUGGGGAAUUUACGCAAUGGGCGAAAGCCUGACGUAGCGACACCGCGUGAGCGAAGAAGCCCCUUGGGGUGUAAAGCUCUGUCAGCUGGAACGAAAAAAUGACGGUACCAGCAGAGGAAGCAUCGGCUAACUACGUG